GAAAUGCGAUAAGUAAUGUGAAUUGCAGAAUUCAGUGAAUCAUCGAAUCUUUGAACGCACCUUGCGCCUUUUGGUAUUCCGAAAGGCAUGCCUGUUUGAGUGUCAUGAAAUAUCAACCCCUCCUGGUUUCUGAUCAGUGUUGGGCUUGGACUUGGGUGUCUGCCAGUCCGCUGGCUCGCCUUAAAAGAGUUAGUGGUAAUAACAUCCACGGCUAAGACGUAAUAAGUUUCGUCUGGUCAAGGUGUGACGACUGCUCAUAACCCGACCGCAAGGUCAUUAUUUUAUGCUCUGACCUCAAAUCAGGUAGGACUACCCGCUGAACUUAA
RNAcentral lists this unclassified non-coding RNA (326 nucleotides) under uncultured Bullera. RNAcentral's name for it is "sequence contains ITS1". The stretch from base 1 to 105 matches the Rfam family "5.8S ribosomal RNA", at positions 50 to 154 of the family's 154-position model. The record is from RNAcentral. Lineage: Eukaryota; Fungi; Basidiomycota; Tremellomycetes; Tremellales.